Molecule: unclassified non-coding RNA, 348 nt
Filed under: soil metagenome
Description: partial contains 5.8S ribosomal RNA, internal transcribed spacer 2, and large subunit ribosomal RNA
Rfam family: 5.8S ribosomal RNA (bases 1-120)
Source: RNAcentral
GAUGAAGAACGUAGCGAAAUGCGAUAAGUAAUGUGAAUUGCAGAAUUCAGUGAAUCAUCGAAUCUUUGAACGCACAUUGCGCCCGCCAGUAUUCUGGCGGGCAUGCCUGUCUGAGCGUCAUUUCAACCCUCAUGCCCCUAGGGCGUGGUGUUGGGGAUCGGCCAAAGCCCGCGAGGGACGGCCGGCCCCUAAAUCUAGUGGCGGACCCGUCGUGGCCUCCUCUGCGAAGUAGUGAUAUUCCGCAUCGGAGAGCGAUGAGCCCCUGCCGUUAAACCCCCAACUUUCCAAGGUUGACCUCAGAUCAGAUAGGAAUACCCGCUGAACUUAAGCAUAUCAAUAAGCGGAGGA